UAGCACUGGCGCGCUCCACAUACGAAGUCCCACAAAUUAAUUUUUUGCUUGGAAACGGUUAAAUCAACACUCCCCAAAUUUUACACCCUUUGAAAGAGACCCCAGGGUGACGUACUGAUUUUUUUUGGGAUUUUUUCAGUCCCCCAAAAAUGUUCAUUUUAAUUGUAGAAUGUGAUGCCCCGGGAAAAAGGCUACAACCCCUGCUUUUUAUGCCUACCAAGUUCCUCAGGCAGCCUCACUAGCUACAGCUAAGCAGAGGCUGCACACUGCAUGGACUGCUGGUCUGGAAGGGAAUAGGGAGAGAAAAAGGGUUUAGGGGCUGAAAAUAGGUGGUGGGGGACAAAAGAUUUAGGCACUUAUUUUACUCCUGGAACCCCCAGCCUGGAAUGGGAGUCCCAAUCUUAGACGAGUGGGUGUAUUUUUGAUCUCAAAUUAAGACUUGGAAUGCCAAUUGAUAAGUGUGGAGAAUUGACUUCAGAGGACAAUUGGUGUUCAGUGAGUUCCUUUUGGGAUUAUCAGCCACCUUCACCUCUCCUCUGUUGCUCAAGAGGGUGAAGGAAAAAAGGCAGAGGUUUAUGGUUGUGAGCAGCAAGCCAGGUUCAGCGGGACAGGAGAGGCAGGUCACUGGAGUUCAUGAUGAGACUUGAGUCAAGAUUCAGACUUUCUGUAAGACAAAUAAAUGUGGAAAAAAAUAUAACACUAUAUAUAUAUGAUUUGAAAAUGUUCAUGAAACAUAAAUUUCUCCAAUUCUGAGAGGUACAUGGAAUUUAUUUUACAGUUAAAGGGGUCACUGGCUAGAAAAUGUUUGAGAACCACUAAACUUAGAAGACCACAGUCUGGGUGCAAGACUCACCAAAGUAUUUCAGUGGAUCAAAUCAAGAACUCAAAAAAAUACUGUAGCAAAACUGAUCAACGAGUAAAUGAGGGGGGGAAAUGGGCACAGACUUUCAUUGAUUUUCUUAUUUUUAGUUUAUUUUUUACCUCCAUGGUCUAAGAGAGGAGAUGAAAACAGAAAAGAGGAAUGAAAAGACAGUGAAGUAUGUGUUUAUUCUCUCAGCACAAAUUCAAAACUGAGGUCUCAUCUGUUUAGAGUCUGUAGCAUUAGUUAAAGUGCACCUAUUAUGCUUUUUCAGAUAUUACCUUUCAUGUAGUGUGUUAUAUAGCUGUUUGUAGGGCUGCAACUAACGAUUAUUUUGAUAAUCAAUUAAUCUGUUGAUUGUUUCUUCGAUGGAUUAAACUGCCACUUUUUAUUUUCUGUAUUUUUUCGGAAUUUUUUCACAUUCUGGCCAAUCUUGUCCUUCAAACAUUGUGCAAAUUAAAGGCUAUGAAAAAGGUA
Long non-coding RNA from Ictalurus punctatus (channel catfish), 1336 nucleotides. RefSeq lists it as uncharacterized. The record is from RefSeq and is a predicted model, not a curated record. Lineage: Eukaryota; Metazoa; Chordata; Actinopteri; Siluriformes; Ictaluridae. The transcript has 3 exons.